Molecule: transfer RNA, 76 nt
Filed under: Firmicutes bacterium ADurb.Bin506
Lineage: Bacteria; Bacillati; Bacillota
Description: tRNA-Leu
Rfam family: tRNA
About the family: Transfer RNA (tRNA) molecules are approximately 80 nucleotides in length. Their secondary structure includes four short double-helical elements and three loops (D, anti-codon, and T loops).
Source: RNAcentral
GCCGACGUAGCCCAACGGGAGAGGCAGCGGAUUCAAAACCCGCGCAGUGCGGGUUCGAUUCCCGCGGUCGGCACCA